ACUUAUCCUCAGGGCGGGGUGAAAUUCCCCACCGGCGGUAUCCCGGCACGAGCCGGGGAGCCCGCGAGCGCUUUCUCCAGAGUGGAGGAAGGUCAGCAGACCUGGUGCGAAGCCAGGGCCGACGGUCACAGUCCGGAUGGAAGAGGGUACGA
RNAcentral lists this non-coding RNA (152 nucleotides) under Desulfocurvibacter africanus. RNAcentral describes it as "Desulfovibrio africanus FMN sequence". It matches the Rfam family "FMN riboswitch aptamer (RFN element)". Rfam says of the family: The RFN element is a highly conserved domain that is found frequently in the 5'-untranslated regions of prokaryotic mRNAs that encode for flavin mononucleotide (FMN) biosynthesis and transport proteins. This element is a metabolite-dependent riboswitch that directly binds FMN in the absence of proteins. The record is from RNAcentral. Lineage: Bacteria; Pseudomonadati; Thermodesulfobacteriota; Desulfovibrionia; Desulfovibrionales; Desulfovibrionaceae. RNAcentral also lists the same sequence under 1 other name.